Molecule: ribosomal RNA, 404 nt
Filed under: uncultured bacterium
Lineage: Bacteria
Description: bacterial SSU rRNA
Rfam family: Bacterial small subunit ribosomal RNA
Source: RNAcentral
UAGGGAAUAUUGGUUAAUGGGCGAAAGCCUGAACCAGCAACGCCGCGUGUGCGAUGAAGGCCUUCGGGUCGUAAAGCACUUUUUGAAGGGAUGAGGAAGGACAGUACCUUCAGAAUAAGUCUCGGCUAACUACGUGCCAGCAGCCGCGGUAAAACGUAGGAGACAAGCGUUAUCCGGAUUUACUGGGCGUAAAGCGCGUGCAGGCGGCACGGAAAGUUGGAUGUGAAAGCUCCCGGCUUAACUGGGAGAGGUCGUUCAAAACUACCGAGCUAGAGGAUGGGAGAGGGAAGUGGAAUUCCGGGUGUAGUGGUGAAAUGCGUAGAUAUCCGGAGGAACACCAGUGGCGAAAGCGGCUUCCUGGCCCAUAACUGACGCUCAGACGCGAAAGCUAGGGUAGCAAACGG